AUUGGAAGCAAGCAACCUGUCAUGGCGCCUCUGUCAGUCACCUUCCCCCCUCCCUCUCCUGCUCGGCUCUGGACGCGACCAGCUGGUUCCAAUCAUCACCUCGUUAAACCGCCUACUUCAGGAGAUCCAGGACCUGACGUCAACGCCAGUCCGUUGUUCUUACCACGGAAUCAUCCUCACGAGUGUGCUCCUCGGGCUACAGUUCUCCAGUUCCCCUCUACGUCUUCCCUUCGGAUCCAGCAAGCCUCAGUCUCGAGCUCCGUCUGCCUCCACCCUCCAGUCAGCCGCCACGCAGCAACAAAGACUUGGUCACAGACUCUCCUUCAGAGAAAUUAAAUCUUUCUUAUACUUA
Molecule: non-coding RNA, 352 nt
Organism: Oryzias latipes (Japanese medaka)
Lineage: Eukaryota; Metazoa; Chordata; Actinopteri; Beloniformes; Adrianichthyidae
Source: RefSeq, a predicted model, not a curated record